GACGAACGCUGGCGGCGUGCUUAACACAUGCAAGUCGAACGGUGAACCUCGCUUGCGGGGGGAUCAGUGGCGAACGGGUGAGUAACACGUGGGCAACCUGCCCCCGGCUCUGGGAUAACUCCAAGAAAUUGGGGCUAAUACCGGAUGUGACCGCUGGCCGCAUGGUCUGGUGGUGGAAAGAUUUAUCGGCUGGGGAUGGGCCCGCGGCCUAUCAGCUUGUUGGUGGGGUGAUGGCCUACCAAGGCGACGACGGGUAGCCGGCCUGAGAGGGUGACCGGCCACACUGGGACUGAGACACGGCCCAGACUCCUACGGGAGGCAGCAGUGGGGAAUAUUGCACAAUGGGCGGAAGCCUGAUGCAGCGACGCCGCGUGAGGGAUGACGGCCUUCGGGUUGUAAACCUCUUUCAGCAGGGACGAAGCGCAAGUGACGGUACCUGCAGAAGAAGCACCGGCCAACUACGUGCCAGCAGCCGCCGUAACAC
This 484-nucleotide ribosomal RNA is filed under the name uncultured bacterium. Its description in RNAcentral is "bacterial SSU rRNA". It matches the Rfam family "Bacterial small subunit ribosomal RNA", at positions 28 to 526 of the family's 1533-position model. The record is from RNAcentral.